GACGAACGCUGGCGGCGUGGAUUAGGCAUGCAAGUCGAACGGUAGGAUACCUUCGGGUAUCUGAGAGUGGCGAACGGGUGAGUAACACGUAGGUGAUCUACCCUCAAGAUUGGGACAACCCAGGGAAACUUGGGCUAAUACCGGAUGAAAGCAGCAGUGAUGUUGUUUGAAAGGUGGCGUAAGCUGCCGUUUGGGGAUGAGCCUGCGCUCUAUUAGUUAGUUGGCGGGGUAAAGGCCCACCAAGGCGAUGAUAGAUAGGCGGCCUUAACGGGUGGUCGCCCACACUGGGAUUGAGAUACGGCCCAGACUCCUACGGGAGGCAGCAGUCGAGAAUAGUCUACAAUGGUCGGAAGACUGAUAGUGCGACGCCGCGUGAACGAUGAAUCCCUUCGGGGUGUAAAGUUCUUUUAUAUGUGAGCAGUGCUUCUUAUAUUAACAGUAUGGGGAGAGAGAUAUUAGCAUAUGAAUAAAGCAACGGCUAACUCCGUGCCAGC
Molecule: ribosomal RNA, 494 nt
Filed under: uncultured bacterium
Lineage: Bacteria
Description: bacterial SSU rRNA
Rfam family: Bacterial small subunit ribosomal RNA
Source: RNAcentral